UCGAACGAUGAAGCUGGAGCUUGCUCCGGUGGAUUAGUGGCGAACGGGUGAGUAACACGUGAGAAAUCUGCCCCUGACUCUGGGAUAACUGCGGGAAACUGUAGCUAAUACCGGAUACUUUCCCUGGUGGGGCAUCCACUGGGGAAGAAAGAAUUUCGGUCAGGGAGGAUCUCGCGGCCUAUCAGCUACGUUGGUGAGGUAACGGCUCACCAAGGCGACGACGGGUAACCGGCCUGAGAGGGUGACCGGUCACACUGGGACUGAGACACGGCCCAGACUCC
This 281-nucleotide ribosomal RNA is filed under the name uncultured bacterium. RNAcentral's name for it is "partial 16S ribosomal RNA". It matches the Rfam family "Bacterial small subunit ribosomal RNA", at positions 62 to 339 of the family's 1533-position model. The record is from RNAcentral.